This 253-nucleotide ribosomal RNA is filed under the name uncultured bacterium. RNAcentral's name for it is "partial 16S ribosomal RNA". It matches the Rfam family "Bacterial small subunit ribosomal RNA", at positions 524 to 776 of the family's 1533-position model. The record is from RNAcentral.
UACGUAGGGUGCGAGCGUUAAUCGGAAUUACUGGGCGUAAAGCGUGCGCAGGCGGUUUUGUAAGCCAGAUGUGAAAGCCCCGGGCUCAACCUGGGAAUGGCAUUUGGGACUGCAAGGCUUGAGUGCGGCAGAGGAGACUGGAAUUCCUGGUGUAGCGGUGAAAUGCGCAGAUAUCAGGAGGAACACCAAUUGCGAAGGCAGCUCGCUGGGACGUUACUGACGCUGAGACGCGAAAGCGUGGGGAGCAAACAGG